AGUGAACGCUGGCGGUAGGCCUAACACAUGCAAGUCGAACAGCAGCACAGUAAGAGCUUGCUCUUACGGGUGGCGAGUGGCGGACGGGUGAGGAAUACAUCGGAAUCUACUUUUUCGUGGGGGAUAACGUAGGGAAACUUACGCUAAUACCGCAUACGACCUACGGGUGAAAGCAGGGGAUCUUCGGACCUUGCGCGAUUGAAUGAGCCGAUGUCGGAUUAGCUAGUUGGCGGGGUAAAGGCCCACCAAGGCGACGAUCCGUAGCUGGUCUGAGAGGAUGAUCAGCCACACUGGAACUGAGACACGGUCCAGACUCCUACGGGAGGCAGCAGUGGGGAAUAUUGGACAAUGGGCGCAAGCCUGAUCCAGCCAUACCGCGUGGGUGAAGAAGGCCUUCGGGUUGUAAAGCCCUUUUGUUGGGAAAGAAAAGCAGCAGGUUAAUACCCCGCUGUUCUGACGGUACCCAAAGAAUAAGCACCGGCUAGCUUCGUG
This 492-nucleotide ribosomal RNA is filed under the name uncultured bacterium. RNAcentral describes it as "partial 16S ribosomal RNA". It matches the Rfam family "Bacterial small subunit ribosomal RNA", at positions 29 to 507 of the family's 1533-position model. The record is from RNAcentral.